GACGAACGCUGGCGGCGUGCUUAACACAUGCAAGUCGAACGGAAAGGCCCUUCGGGGUACUCGAGUGGCGAACGGGUGAGUAACACGUGGGUGAUCUGCCCUGCACUUUGGGAUAAGCCUGGGAAACUGGGUCUAAUACCGAAUAGGACCACGCGCUUCAUGGUGUGUGGUGGAAAGCUUUUGCGGUGUGGGAUGGGCCCGCGGCCUAUCAGCUUGUUGGUGGGGUAAUGGCCUACCAAGGCGACGACGGGUAGCCGGCCUGAGAGGGUGACCGGCCACACUGGGACUGAGAUACGGCCAAGACUCCUACGGGAGGCAGCAGUGGGGAAUAUUGCACAAUGGGCGCAAGCCUGAUGCAGCGACGCCGCGUGAGGGAUGACGGCCUUCGGGUUGUAAACCUCUUUCAAUAGGGACGAAGCGCAAGUGACGGUACCUAUAGAAGAAGCACCGGCCAACUACGUG
This 462-nucleotide ribosomal RNA is filed under the name uncultured bacterium. Its description in RNAcentral is "partial 16S ribosomal RNA". It matches the Rfam family "Bacterial small subunit ribosomal RNA", at positions 28 to 507 of the family's 1533-position model. The record is from RNAcentral.